UACGUAGGUGGCGAGCGUUAUCCGGAAUGAUUGGGCGUAAAGGGUGCGUAGGCGGCCUGCUAAGUCUGGAGUGAAAGGUACCGGCUCAACCGGUACAGGCUCUGGAAACUGGCUGUCUUGAGAUGUCGAGAGGUAUGCGGAAUGCGCAGUGUAGCGGUGAAAUGCCUAGAUAUUGCGCAGAACUCCGAUUGCGAAGGCAGCAUACCGGCGGCCUACUGACGCUGAGGCACGAAAGUGCGGGUAUCGAACAGG
RNAcentral lists this ribosomal RNA (252 nucleotides) under uncultured bacterium. Its description in RNAcentral is "partial 16S ribosomal RNA". It matches the Rfam family "Bacterial small subunit ribosomal RNA", at positions 524 to 776 of the family's 1533-position model. The record is from RNAcentral.